CAGUCGCCACGGUAAUACAGAGGAUGCAAGCGUUAUCCGGAAUGAUUGGGCGUAAAGCGUGCGCAGGCGGUUGUGUAAGACAGGUGUGAAAUCCCCGGGCUUAACCUGGGAACUGCGCUUGUGACUGCACAGCUAGAGUAUGGCAGAGGGGGGUGGAAUUCCACGUGUAGCAGUGAAAUGCGUAGAGAUGUGGAGGAACACCGAUGGCGAAGGCAGCCCCCUGGGCCAAUACUGACGCUCAUGCACGAAAGCGUGGGGAGCAAACAGGAUUAGAUACCCCGGUAGUCCCUGUCUCUUAUAA
RNAcentral lists this ribosomal RNA (301 nucleotides) under uncultured bacterium. RNAcentral describes it as "partial 16S ribosomal RNA". It matches the Rfam family "Bacterial small subunit ribosomal RNA", at positions 509 to 809 of the family's 1533-position model. The record is from RNAcentral.